This 12641-nucleotide long non-coding RNA is filed under the name Triticum aestivum (bread wheat). RNAcentral describes it as "long non-coding RNA (TAES_LNC016361)". The record is from RNAcentral. Lineage: Eukaryota; Viridiplantae; Streptophyta; Magnoliopsida; Poales; Poaceae.
UUGGAGAAGGACCAGAAGACUUGAAGACUCCGAGGAACAGGCAAGCGGCCCUUUGACCAUGACUGUGAUACCCCUUUCUAUAUGCAUGUCAUUUUUAGCUCUUUAUUAUUGAUGCAUCGGAAUCAUGAUGAGAUGGUGAACCACGUGGGUUGGUUGCCACGAUUACUCCCUCGUUGAUACUUGCAUUGUGCAUGGCCCUACCUUCUUAUGAGGGUUAUGCCGGUGGGAGUAGAUAGGAUGCUAGUAGUGCUACGCAAAAGGGACGGGGAUAUGCAUGGUGAUGGAGACAAAAUAUUUUCAAAGACUUUUGAAAACCCCGUCGGGUGCCACUUAUGCCCGAGGGAGAUGAUGAGAUGGGUGACCACUUGAUGACGAAGUGGUGUGCCAAGCAAAGGGUGUGUUGAUUUCAAAACGGAUUGGUCGGAGUUGCGACCGUUAUUCCAACCUUACAUGCGCGACCACUCUACCCUUAUAUGGGAAAGGGCAUUGUUGAGUACCUAGACCGAUACUAGCUUGGAGCCCGCAUUACUAGUGACGGGGGAGAGUUGGUGCUCUCUCUUGGGACGGGUUCGUGCCAGGUAGGGCGGCCAUGACCAUCUUUAUGGGGCACCGGACACACCGUUGGUACCCCGUGCCAGUGGUAUGUGAUGAAUAUGGGAGCAAGGCUCCACGAAAAUGUUAUGUGAGAUGUUGGGCACGGGGGUUACUGCCAAUCGAGUGGACUCCAUGUUAGUGUCGUCUAGGGAAAGAUAGUGAUCGGGUGCUUACCCCGGGUACUUGAGGUACCGCGGGUCGUGGAUUGACACGGAAGUUCCCCGGAUCUAGUGGGUAAAGUGUGCAACCUCUGCAGAGUGUAAAACUAUUCGAAUAGCCGUGUCCACGGUCAAGGACAGUUGGGUAACCGCUCUUGGGCUAUGUCCACUUGUUUUCAAACCCGGUGUGUGUGAGAUGAUGGUGUUGUCUUGGAUCAAGUCAAAGGACUUGACACGAUUGAGAUGGGUUGGUGCCCACUCUGUUUAUGAUAAAUGGGUUGGUGCCCAUUCUAUUUAUGUUGAUAUCUGUGACCAGUUCUUAUGGUUACUUGAAUUCUCUUGAUGCAUGCUUUAUAGGAUGUUGAACAUGUCCUGCACUCAAAACUAGCUUUAUGCAAAACUUUACCUAUGUCAUGCAUUACCGUACCUUGAACCAAAUCAUGGGUUGCUUGCGAGUACAUUCAAAGUACUCAUUGGCUUGCCACUGGUUAUUUAAUUGACCAGGCAUGGAAGAACCGGAGUUCGGAGAUGAGUUCUUUGGAGACGAUCAUGCGAACUAGGACGUUUUCCCAGUCAGAAUGCCUGUAGGGUUAAGGCAGAUGGCAUGGGUUCUACUUAUCGACGACGUUGUCCGCUGCUAUGUUUCAUUUGAUGUUCAGCCCUUAAGGCUUUAUCGAUGUAAGACUUGACCAUGUUGGUCACUAUUUGUGUAAGACGGUAUGUAUGGAUGUAAGACUCUUGUUAUUCAGCUUCUGUGUGUUCACUGAGCAUUGAUCUCUGGGAUCACUGUACACGUGCAUUCGGUGAUCACGACUUGCGAGUCGGGGUCCCCACAGAGCUGGUAUCAGAGCCAUCCUGACUGUAGGAAGCCUUAGUUAGCAUGGUCGUUAGUUAGGGUAAAACUAUUUCCAAAACUACUACUAGUUUUCAAAACUAUCUAUUCUUCUCUUUCCCCUUCUGAGUUUUUCGAAAGCUAAGAUAUACUUUCCUCAUCCCCCGCUCUUGGUGUCGACGUUAUUAUCAACGUAACCGACAUGAUGGACCUCUAUUAUGCCUUGAUAAUGUCAUUUCAUAAAGGAUUGCCUACCUGGUACCAUCGAUGGCUUAGAAGACGAGAAGGGAUCAUCAUGAUUAAGAAGACAACAGAAGACCGAGUCAAUGCCUGCUAUGAGAAGCCACCUUCACCCCAUCACUUCAACAGGCAAGAAGUUGUUGAAGACUCUUCAAGCUUAACCGGGAUCAUUCCAUCAAACAACUACAAGAGACGUAGCAGCACCUGAGGGGAAACCCGGGAGACUGCACGAGGCACAAGGCACGACUAUGGAGUCCGAGAACCCCUAGGGUAGGAUGAGUCGUGUACCCCCUAUGCGCAGUCGAGUCCGUAUGAUGGUUCGAGUAGAACCAUUACUGUGUGUUGCUUGUUUUUAUUUGUUUGUGUUUUGAUAUAAGUCGCACUUUUGCCUUAGGCGACAAGUACGCGACUAUAUCACCUGCCUUAUUUUGUUGUUGUGUUUGACCCUUUUUGGCACUUGUUUGUUCGCACUUGCACUAUAGAACCCCCUUAGGCGUUCCCCUCCUCUAUGCUACUUCCCCCUCUCAUCUCUCUCCUCAACCGAAGACAAGCAAGAUAAUAUGCACCAAGGAUUUCAUCUCGGCGACCAACAAGCAUUGAUGACUUUCACUACAGCCUCCACGACCAAGUGCAACCCCGUAGAAUUAUGUUUAACCCUCAAGACUAGAAACCCAUUCCUAGACCUUUCGGGACUCCACGAGAUACCCCAGCCCGAAACCUUAACCAUGAGCUUAACCAACGGAAUUGCAAGAGAACCUGUUAAGCCUUCAUAACCUUGCUUAUCACUGGGUUCAUUAUGGAACUAGUGGACAUAGUGAAUGAGCACAUUAUAAUCCUAAGAUAGCACUAAAACUGACGAUGCCAUAGGAAGGACCAGUUUGAGGAUAUAGGAUUUGAGGACAGAUGACUUGGUGAGUUUAUAUCAGUAACUUUUGGGAAUUAUCUGAGACUCUUUGGUGGAUUAUAAGGCUACCAUGUUGGUAGAUGAACUUGGUGGGAUCAUGAUUAUAGAGUGGCAUAGCUUUCAUUACCCCUGAAUAAAUUGGAUUUAUAGGACAAUUAUGAUCGCAAGCUGAAACUCCUGGAAGUGCAAGGAUUUGACUUGAUUAGAUAAUAUUGAUUGGAGGCAGUUGAUAUUACGUAAAUGACUUGGGGGAAAGUGUAGGAAUUCUCGUUGGACAUGAGAUUUGGAUUUAAGAAGGUGAUUCUAGUUGGAUAUAGAUGCUGAGUAUGUCUACAUGGUUCGGAGUAAAUUGGAUUUUGACUGACGAUCUCGAUCAUGAUACCAUGUUUCUCGGUGGACGAUAAACUAGGAAAUUGGGCUAAUUGUCGGAAUUGAUUUAGGCAUCUUUGUGAGUUUGACCUUGGAGUAUUAUUAGAACACAAUAAUGGGAAUUGGUGGGCUAACUAUAGUAAGGAAACCCUUUCAAGUAUUGGGGAUUAUAAGGACUUUAGGAGAUCAUGUGGAACACCAGCAUAGGCGUUGGGUUAGUAGAAUUAAUGGAUUAUGUAGCGAUUAAUGGAAGUUAACAGGUUGUUGGAGUUGAUUCAUAGAAAGGAAACAAGAUUUUGGAGUGGCAUAUGACGUGUUUCCUUAAUACAGAGAUGCGCCAGUAUGGACCUUGGAGGAAUAGGAUGAGCACUUGGAUUGUCCUGUUUUAUUCCAGCUUGGAAGCUUGUAUGCUCUACCCAUGGAUUUUUAGGGGUGGCCGCACACACAUGAGUUUGGGGAUUAUAGACAUAUAUGAUUUUGUUAGAUCUCCUCUUGGGAGUCAUGAGGAUAUGAUUAGCAUGAGUGAUGAUUGGAGUUGACCUAUACGAAUGAUGCUUUCAAUAGUACAAGGUGAUCUGUUUGGAGGACUAGAUAGACUAUUGGCAUCUCAGAAACCGUGCUUAAAGAUAGGAGGAUAAAUGUUCAUUCGCACACUAGAAUCCUUGAAACCCUUAUGCCCUACCAAGCCACAACACGGUUGGAUCAUGACCUUGGGCCUUGGCUCUAGAUCAAUAAGACCUUGACCAAUGCUCAACCGUGACCCUCACCAAUGCCUCAGCCCACUCUGCGUACUCCAAAUACUUCAUAGAGUACUUGGGCAAGUAAAUUAUCAUCCUUACUUGAGGACAUGAAUGUCCGCACGAAGACGGAAGAAGAGUUGAUCAGCUGGUUAGGGAACAUCCGAAGACCGCCAUGUCAAGGAGGAAGAACUACACCAACCACCGUCGUCAAGGAAUGAGCUUCCGCAUUGAAAACCGUGCAUAUCUGCAAGCCACUCCUCUCAAAGGCAACUAUGGCCUCAUGAAGAAAACUAUGCUACUCAUGACCUGGAGCUAGCAGCAGUGGUUCAUGCCCUGAAGACAUGGCGACAUUACCUCUUACGGAAGGGAUGUGAGAUAUACACGGAUCACAAGGGUCUGAAGUAUAUUUUCACUCAAAAGGAAUUGAACACGAGGCAAAGAAGAUGGCUAGACUUGAUCAAAGAUUAUGACCUCAGUGUUCAAUACCACCCUAGGAAGGCUAAUGUGGUAGCAGAUGCAUUAAGCAGAAAGGCUUGUUCCUUGAAUGCUAUGCUUAAGGACAGGCUGCCCGCCUUGUAUGAAGAACUUGAAAGCUUCGGGUUGGAACUGGUUGCACCAGGAUUCUUAACUAACCUUGAAGUCAAGCCUUCAGGUGGCACCAUUUGAAGUGUUAUACGGACGGAAGUGCCGCAUACCCCUCAAUUAGUCAGAAACCGGAGAAGGACUUGUCUUUGGGCCUGAUAUCCUCCGUGAAACCGAAGAGCAAGUCCAGCUUGUCGGAGAGCGUUGGAGGACUGCCAAGUCAAGACGAAAGAACUACGCUGACUCAUGUCGUCGAGGCAUGACCCUCCGAGUUGGAGACCAUGUUUAUCUCCGGGUCACCCUCCCAAAGGAACCCAGCGCUUCCAUGUCAAAGGAAAGCUCGCCCCAAGAUUCAUCGGCCUUCUGCAGGAUCACUCCAAGAUUUAACAACCUCUUCUGAGAUCACUACGAGACGGAGAGAAGACAAUUACCAGCUGGAGUUGCCCCCUGAGCUACCUGAUGUGCACAAUGCUUUCCAUGCAUCACAACCCCGGAAGUGUUUCCAACUUCCUAGCUAGCCCGAGCACUAAUAAGGACAUUGACCACCGGGCCAUAGACCCCUAGCCCAAUCUAACCUACUGCGAGCUACACAUUAGCAGUUUGGAUCAAGAAGAGCGUCAUGCACGAAGCCACAACACCAGGUCCUUCAAGAUUCCAAGGAGCACCACUCAGUAGCAGAAGCAGUAUGAGGACGUGAAGACUACCCCAGAUCCAAGAUUCUGUACUCCUUUCCGCGCCUAGUCUAGGAAUCUCGGGGACGAGAUUCUUGUAAGGGGGGUAGGUCUGUCACACCCUGAUUUUCAUGGCACAACACUUAAGUCAUUAGAUCAUGCUGAAAUGUGGUUUGACAAAAACUUUUGAGUGUUUUGGACUUUGCUUGAUUUGAUUUUUGUCUGCUGUUUGCAAGUGCUCUAAAAAUCAAGUAAACCCUCCAACUUCUAUACUUCAUCUCCUUGAUCCAAAACCUUUCCCAAUGAUCAUGCCAUGUGUAUAGGAUAUAAAAAUAAUUUCUGGAAAAAAAUAAUUUGGCCAAAUAGUAUUUUCAAAAAUUAGUUUUCUAAAAACCCCCUAAAUUGAGGUUUGCACUGCAAAUACUUAAUUAAGGGCAGUAAAAAUCUUUCUAAAAAUGUAUUUGACUCCUAUUAGAUAUAGGAUACCCAGAAACCACAUAAAUAUAAUUUUAAAAGAUAUUUUCCUAUUUUAUUUAAAGGAUUUUUCUUAAGGCCAGAAAUGGUCUUUAAUAGGUAAAAAUUAUUUUAUUGCUUCAAAAACAUUUGACAAAAUUCAGGGAGACUCAUAGGACAUAUAUAGUCCAUAUAUAAGAGUUUCAACACAUGGUUAUGUUCAAAAUAUUGGUCAAACCCCUCAAAGACCCUUUCUGGAUAUUUCAAGCUUUUGAAAUAUUUACAAAGGAAAUAUUCUCCAAAUAUUCCAAGAAAAUUCUAUCAUGUCACAUAUGACAUAUUUGGUGAUCUUGCCAAGUCUCAUGACUUGGAGAACAAGAUAGCAUCAUCAAAACCUCUCAAAACCAUUUCUAUCCAUUUUGAAGUUUGAGCAACUUUACAUUGCCAAACAUGUCCAAAUGUUCUCAAACCUUGUGGACUUGCUCAAAUGGUCUAAUAAUUCAUCUAGACCAAAUGGCACAAGUUGGAGAGCAAGUUAACUUGAUCAAAGUGCCCCAAAACCCUUUCUGUCCAGAACCUUAUUUGAACAACUUUGCAUUACCAACUUUCUCUCCUUGACACCAACUUUUGUGAGCAUGAUCACAUGACCAAAUGAGGCCACCACACCAAGUGGUGCAUCAAGGAGAAGUGAUUUGCUCAACUAAAUCUACACAAGUUCAUUUCUGCUAAUUUCUAGGGUUUACCAAAGUUGCAUUGUCAACUUUCUUCAAAUGACCUCCAAAUUGGUGGGAGGCCCUAAUUAUAUGUGUCAUAUCACCCUAUGGAGUCUCAUGGCUUAUGGGGAUCAUCUACUUUCCCAAACCAACAUCAAACACCUUCUGGCAUUUUGCAAAAACCACUAUUUGGACCCCUUCCACUAAUCUCCAUGACUUCUCCUUUUUACCACAGCCCCUCCUAGUUCCCCUCUACCUCUGGUGUGCUUCCCUGCCCGAGAGGCAAUGAUUAAGGGGGGAAGGGCUCCAUUUUUCUUCUCUGGACAUCCACUUUUUCCUUCCUUUGUCAUCUCUCUCUCACCCCUGGCAUGUUGCAGAGCAUCCAAAGCUUCUUUCACCUUUGUUUAUCCCCCCUGCAGCUACCAGACACAAGUGGACGCGCGGGUGCGCGCAAAAAGCUGCGGGUGCCGGCCAUUCGCGCGCUCUGGAGCACGUCAACGUGCUCCCGACCGUUGACACGGCACUCCCGACCACCUCGAGCCUCCCCCUCGCGCCAGUCGAUGCUCCUCGACGUCCACAACACGACACCGAGCUGGCCCCCUCCUCCUUCUCCCUCCUGCUGCCUCCUUUCACACGCGCGCCGGCCGCCCGAGAGCUCCAAUGGGCAUGCUCACACGCGCGGCGCCCUGACACUCACCCGCUCCUUCUCUUCCCUCCUCUAGCCCUGGACCAACCCCACGAACACCCCAGACAUACCCACGCGCGCCCCCGUGACCUCCAGCGACGGCUAGGAGCUCGCCGGCGCACGAGUCCACGGCACCCCGCCGUUCGCUUAUUUAAAGGCACCGCCGAGCUCUCUCUGGCCUCCUUUCGCUCCCUCUCCCUCCUAUGAACCCCCUGAACCAACCCACUCCCCUCCUCGCGCCCUCCAUAGCCCUCCAUGGCCGGAGAUCCGCCGCCGGCCUCCACCUAAAUUCAGCCGAGCCCGAGCUCCUCUCCCUCUCCCCUCUCCACCAGCAGCCUCCCCUGAGCAAGGCGGAGCUCCCACGCUCUUUCCCUCGUCCGGGGACGCACCGUAGCGCCAUGCCCAAACUCACCCGACGCCACCGUCCGCCGGCAUCCAAGCCGCCGUCGCCUNNNNNNNNNNCCUCUUACGGAAGGGAUGUGAGAUAUACACGGAUCACAAGGGUCUGAAGUAUAUUUUCACUCAAAAGGAAUUGAACACGAGGCAAAGAAGAUGGCUAGACUUGAUCAAAGAUUAUGACCUCAGUGUUCAAUACCACCCUAGGAAGGCUAAUGUGGUAGCAGAUGCAUUAAGCAGAAAGGCUUGUUCCUUGAAUGCUAUGCUUAAGGACAGGCUGCCCGCCUUGUAUGAAGAACUUGAAAGCUUCGGGUUGGAACUGGUUGCACCAGGAUUCUUAACUAACCUUGAAGUCAAGCCUUCAGGUGGCACCAUUUGAAGUGUUAUACGGACGGAAGUGCCGCAUACCCCUCAAUUAGUCAGAAACCGGAGAAGGACUUGUCUUUGGGCCUGAUAUCCUCCGUGAAACCGAAGAGCAAGUCCAGCUUGUCGGAGAGCGUUGGAGGACUGCCAAGUCAAGACGAAAGAACUACGCUGACUCAUGUCGUCGAGGCAUGACCCUCCGAGUUGGAGACCAUGUUUAUCUCCGGGUCACCCUCCCAAAGGAACCCAGCGCUUCCAUGUCAAAGGAAAGCUCGCCCCAAGAUUCAUCGGCCUUCUGCAGGAUCACUCCAAGAUUUAACAACCUCUUCUGAGAUCACUACGAGACGGAGAGAAGACAAUUACCAGCUGGAGUUGCCCCCUGAGCUACCUGAUGUGCACAAUGCUUUCCAUGCAUCACAACCCCGGAAGUGUUUCCAACUUCCUAGCUAGCCCGAGCACUAAUAAGGACAUUGACCACCGGGCCAUAGACCCCUAGCCCAAUCUAACCUACUGCGAGCUACACAUUAGCAGUUUGGAUCAAGAAGAGCGUCAUGCACGAAGCCACAACACCAGGUCCUUCAAGAUUCCAAGGAGCACCACUCAGUAGCAGAAGCAGUAUGAGGACGUGAAGAUUACCCCAGAUCCAAGAUUCUGUACUCCUUUCCGCGCCUAGUCUAGGAAUCUCGGGGACGAGAUUCUUGUAAGGGGGGUAGGUCUGUCACACCCUGAUUUUCAUGGCACAACACUUAAGUCAUUAGAUCAUGCUGAAAUGUGGUUUGACAAAAACUUUUGAGUGUUUUGGACUUUGCUUGAUUUGAUUUUUGUCUGCUGUUUGCAAGUGCUCUAAAAAUCAAGUAAACCCUCCAACUUCUAUACUUCAUCUCCUUGAUCCAAAACCUUUACCAAUGAUCAUGCCAUGUGUAUAGGAUAUAAAAAUAAUUUCUGGAAAAAAUAAUUUGGCCAAAUAGUAUUUUCAAAAAUUAGUUUUCUAAAAACCCCUAAAUUGAGGUUUGCACUGCAAAUACUUAAUUAAGGGCAGUAAAAAUCUUUCUAAAAAUGUAUUUGACUCCUAUUAGAUAUAGGAUACCCAGAAACCACAGAAAUAUAAUUUUAAAAGAUAUUUUCCUAUUUUAUUUAAAGGAUUUUUCUUAAGGCCAGAAAUGGUCUUUAAUAGGUAAAAAUUAUUUUAUUGCUUCAAAAACAUUUGACAAAAUUCAGGGAGACUCAUAGGACAUAUAUAGUCCAUAUAUAAGAGUUUCAACACAUGGUUAUGUUCAAAAUAUUGGUCAAACCCCUCAAAGACCCUUUCUGGAUAUUUCAAGCUUUUGAAAUAUUUACAAAGGAAAUAUUCUCCAAAUAUUCCAAGAAAAUUCUAUCAUGUCACAUAUGACAUAUUUGGUGAUCUUGCCAAGUCUCAUGACUUGGAGAACAAGAUAGCAUCAUCAAAACCUCUCAAAACCAUUUCUGUCCAUUUUGAAGUUUGAGCAACUUUACAUUGCCAAACAUGUCCAAAUGUUCUCAAACCUUGUGGACUUGCUCAAAUGGUCUAAUAAUUCAUCUAGACCAAAUGGCACAAGUUGGAGAGCAAGUUAACUUGAUCAAAGUGCCCCAAAACCCUUUCUGUCCAGAACCUUAUUUGAACAACUUUGCAUUACCAACUUUCUCUCCUUGACACCAACUUUUGUGAGCAUGAUCACAUGACCAAAUGAGGCCACCACACCAAGUGGUGCAUCAAGGAGAAGUGAUUUGCUCAACUAAAUCUACACAAGUUCAUUUCUGCUAAUUUCUAGGGUUUACCAAAGUUGCAUUGUCAACUUUCUUCAAAUGACCUCCAAAUUGGUGGGAGGCCCUAAUUAUAUGUGUCAUAUCACCCUAUGGAGUCUCAUGGCUUAUGGGGAUCAUCUACUUUCCCAAACCAACAUCAAACACCUUCUGGCAUUUUGCAAAAACCACUAUUUGGACCCCUUCCACUAAUCUCCAUGACUUCUCCUUUUUACCACAGCCCCUCCUAGUUCCCCUCUACCUCUGGUGUGCUUCCCUGCCCGAGAGGCAAUGAUUAAGGGGGGAAGGGCUCCAUUUUUCUUCUCUGGACAUCCACUUUUUCCUUCCUUUGUCAUCUCUCUCUCACCCCUGGCAUGUUGCAGAGCAUCCAAAGCUUCUUUCACCUUUGUUUAUCCCCCCUGCAGCUACCAGACACAAGUGGACGCGCGGGUGCGCGCAAAAAGCUGCGGGUGCCGGCCAUUCGCGCGCUCUGGAGCACGUCAACGUGCUCCCGACCGUUGACACGGCACUCCCGACCACCUCGAGCCUCCCCCUCGCGCCAGUCGAUGCUCCUCGACGUCCACAACACGACACCGAGCUGGCCCCCUCCUCCUUCUCCCUCCUGCUGCCUCCUUUCACACGCGCGCCGGCCGCCCGAGAGCUCCAAUGGGCAUGCUCACACGCGCGGCGCCCUGACACUCCCCCGCUCCUUCUCUUCCCUCCUCUAGCCCUGGACCAACCCCACGAACACCCCAGACAUACCCACGCGCGCCCCCGUGACCUCCAGCGACGGCUAGGAGCUCGCCGGCGCACGAGUCCACGGCACCCCGCCGUUCGCUUAUUUAAAGGCACCCCCGAGCUCUCUCUGGCCUCCUUUCGCUCCCUCUCCCUCCUAUGAACCCCCUGAACCAACCCACUCCCCUCCUCGCGCCCUCCAUAGCCCUCCAUGGCCGGAGAUCCGCCGCCGGCCUCCACCUAAAUUCAGCCGAGCCCGAGCUCCUCUCCCUCUCCCCUCUCCACCAGCAGCCUCCCCUGAGCAAGGCGGAGCUCCCACGCUCUUUCCCUCGUCCGGGGACGCACCGUAGCGCCAUGCCCAAACUCACCCGACGCCACCGUCCGCCGGCAUCCAAGCCGCCGUCGCCUCGACCGUCCCCGGCAGCCGUGGCAUACACGAAUGGAUGCGGCGCUCGACGCCGAGCUCAUCCAUAGCUAGAGCGUUGCCGGAGGUGCUCCGUAGCGCCGGUAGUCGUCGUCGGGGCUCUCUGCUCCCUCGGCCAGGUAAGCGCGCGGGAGGAAGACGAAGGCGAACCUGACAGGCGGGGCCCGCUCGUCAGUGGCCCAGCCACGGGGCCACGUUGGCAGGUGGAGGCGCAUUCGGUUGCUCCCGCGUCCCCGCAGCGAAGGUGUACUCCAGCUGGGCGCCUUCGACGUCGCCCCUGACACCCGCGCAGCCGAGCCGCUCGGCCGGCCCAGUGGCGCCUGCCGCUAAGCCUCGCCCGGUGCGCGCCGCCGCCGCCCAGAUCCAGCCCAUCUGGGUAAAACCCCUUUUUCCCCUUUUUCUUUUCUGUACAGCUUGUAAAAUCCACAGAUUAUUUAUUCUAAGUCCAAAUUUGAUGAUUCAAAUUCCUAUAGACUCCAUAAAUGAUGAUCUACCUGUUGGUGCAACAUGCACCUUUUUCCAGAUACUUUUUCUUCACAAAUAAUUAUCACAUCCUAUUUUUCCUAUUUCUGUGAUAAACUUUAGAAAAUCACAGAGAGCUCAAUAUUGAUCCAAAUGCCAUGAUUCCAAUUCCUAGAUGAAUCUAAGCUCAUAACCUAGUUUAUGAACAUUUUUCUUGAUGCUUUCUGUACCACAUAAAUUAUUGAGCCAUUUCUUCAUAUUUAUCAGCUUUGCAAAUUCAUAGGAAAUUCAUUUGAACUCCAAAUCCAGUGAAACCAAUUCCUAGAUGCUUCUAAAAUCCUGCUUUGUCAAAUGGGUGCCUUUGCUCAUUUUUCAAAAAAUGUAUUUCUGUACACUUCUAGCAAAUCCAUAAACCUCUCGAUUCCAUCAUAUUGAAAUGUUCGGAGAUGUCCAUUGAUCCACUUCCAAUGAAAUCACUUUGGUCAUUCCUCAUAUGACCAGAGGUAUCCAAUAAAAGUCAACUUCACAUUUUUAGAGCACAUUUAUUCUUGCCUUGUUGUGUUGCUCAUUGUGUUUGUUUCCGACGUUAGUUGACGAAGUAGACGGAGUACUUGGAGAAGGACCAGAAGACUUGAAGACUCCGAGGAACAGGCAAGCGUCCCUUUGACCAUGACUAUGAUACCCCUUUCUAUAUGCAUGUCAUUUUUAGCUCUUUAUUAUUGAUGCAUCGGAAUCAUGAUGAGAUGGUGAACCACGUGGGUUGGUUGCCACGAUUACUCCCUCAUUGAUACUUGCAUUGUGCAUGGCCCUACCUUCUUAUGAGGGUUAUGCCGGUGGGAGUAGAUAGGAUGCUAGUAGUGCUACGCAAAAGGGACGGGGAUAUGCAUGGUGAUGGAGACAAAAUAUUUUCAAAGACUUUUGAAAACCCCGUCGGGUGCCACUUAUGCCCGAGGGAGAUGAUGAGAUGGGUGACCACUUGAUGACGAAGUGGUGUGCCAAGCAAAGGGUGUGUUGAUUUCAAAACGGAUUGGUCGGAGUUGCGACCGUUAUUCCAGCCUUACAUGCGCGACCACUCUACCCUUAUAUGGGAAAGGGCAUUGUUGAGUACCUAGACCGAUACUAUCUUGGAGCCCGCAUUACUAGUGACGGGGGAGAGUUGGUGCUCUCUCUUGGGACGGGGUCGUGCCAGGUAGGGCGGCCAUGACCAUCUUUAUGGGGCACCGGACACACCGUUGGUACCCCGUGCCAGUGGUAUGUGAUGAAUAUGGGAGCAAGGCUCCACGAAAAUGUUAUGUGAAAUGUUGGGCACGGGGGUUACUGCCAAUCGAGUGGACUCCAUGUUAGUGUCGUCUAGGGAAAGAUAGUGAUCAGGUGCUUACCCCGGGUACUUGAGGUACCGCGGGUCGUGGAUUGACACGGAAGUUCCCCGGAUCUAGUGGGUAAAGUGUGCAACCUCUGCAGAGUGUAAAACUAUUCGAAUAGCCGUGUCCACGGUCAAGGACAGUUGGGUAACCGCUCUUGGGCCACGUCCACUUGUUUUCAAACAUGGUGUGUGUGAG